This is a long non-coding RNA of Drosophila eugracilis, 1263 nucleotides long. RefSeq lists it as uncharacterized. The transcript has 2 exons. Lineage: Eukaryota; Metazoa; Arthropoda; Insecta; Diptera; Drosophilidae. The record is from RefSeq and is a predicted model, not a curated record.
AGCUAAAAACCUAUAAUCUCUACCACAAAAUUAACACCAAAGGAACUCAAUGUUUGCUGAUAACCAAAGUUGGAACACCCCACCACCACUCUGCGAUAAUUAUAAAAUGUAAUUUAAAAAAAAAAAUGUAAAAAAAAAAACACACCACAUCAAUGUGUUUCUGGCCCCAAAGUGUUACUCUCCUCCGUUUCCAUUUGGUAGCAAACAACAAAAGGGAGUGAAAAACAUAGUGCGAAUUGCAUGCGUGAUGCACAUAAACAAUAACAAAAAGUAGUAAAGGGAAAGGGAAGGGGAAGCACCACCACUCACACAGCCACAAACAAAAACACUGAAAGAAAACAAAAGGCCAUAUAGCGAUAGCAAAAGCUUCUUAAAACGUUAAGAAAAGCCUUUUCGCUCGCUUUGUUUUCCGGGCUGCAUUGUUAUUGUAAUUGUUGUUGCAGGCGAACGAAGUUGAGAAAAUGUGUAGGAAAAUCCACACGGAAAAAUAUUGUGUGCAAAGGUUUUAAAUUUACAAAAAAGAAAUGCAGAAAGAAAAAAUUGAAUUUAAAAAGAAUACUAAAGGAAGUAGAAAAGCUAAAAAUUGAUAAACCGUUUCGGGAAUAACCCAAAAACGUAAAAAUAAUAUAAAGACUUCCUAUACACUUUGAUAUAAACAGAAUAAUAUCAUAUUUUUCCUGUGAAAUUCUUGAAUUAAAACAAGGGGAAGUGGAAAAACCCGACGUGUUGAGUGCCACAAUUUUCAUCUUUCACCGCAGGCUGUUUAAAAAAAAAACACAACAAAAUGGAUUUUCCUUACUUCUACACGAAAGACUUCCCUAUUCCUGUUACCUACACUUGCACCUGCACAAUAUACCCACUGAAACUCUCAAAUUAACAGGUAGUAAAAUAUCAAGAUGAAGGCUUCAAAAGCUCAAGAAAGCCGGAACGCUCCAGAAUGGUCUAGAGCCUGCACAAAUAUGCAAUUGUUUGUGCCAAACAAUUUGCCAAACAGAACAAAUCCGACAGCAAACAUGAAACGCACAAAUAAGUGGGGCACUUGGAAAAAAUUACUUAAUUUUUAACAUUCAAAAAAAGUUACUUUUUAGGGUAAGAAUUAACUAAAAUGUAAACUAAAUCACAAGGAAAUUUUCUUUUAUAAUUUGUUUUUAAAAAUUCCUCAAACUUUAUGUAAAUGUUGGUAGGUAAUAAAGCUUUUUGGCUAUCUAAAGCCUUGAACAUUCAAAAACUUAAGAAUAAAGAAUUUAAAAAAGUGAAAAGUAA